Molecule: ribosomal RNA, 497 nt
Filed under: uncultured bacterium
Lineage: Bacteria
Description: partial 16S ribosomal RNA
Rfam family: Bacterial small subunit ribosomal RNA
Source: RNAcentral
GAUGAACGCUGGCGGCGUGCCUAAUACAUGCAAGUCGAGCGAACGGACGAGAAGCUUGCUUCUCUGAUGUUAGCGGCGGACGGGUGAGUAACACGUGGAUAACCUACCUAUAAGACUGGGAUAACUUCGGGAAACCGGAGCUAAUACCGGAUAAUAUUUUGAACCGCAUGGUUCAAAAGUGAAAGACGGUCUUGCUGUCACUUAUAGAUGGAUCCGCGCUGCAUUAGCUAGUUGGUAAGGUAACGGCUUACCAAGGCAACGAUGCAUAGCCGACCUGAGAGGGUGAUCGGCCAAACUGGAACUGAGAAACGGUCCAGACUACAACGGGGGGCAGCGGUGGGGAGUCUUCGGAAAUGAGCAAAGGCCUGACGGGGAAACGCAGGGGGGUGAAUGAAGGUCUUCGAAUCGUAAAACUCUGUUAUUAGGGAAAAACAUAUGUGUAAGUAACUGUGCACAUCUUGACGGUACCUAAUCAGAAAGGCACGGCUAACUACGUG